Molecule: long non-coding RNA, 202 nt
Filed under: Lupinus angustifolius (narrow-leaved blue lupine)
Lineage: Eukaryota; Viridiplantae; Streptophyta; Magnoliopsida; Fabales; Fabaceae
Description: long non-coding RNA (LANG_LNC002663)
Source: RNAcentral
GCGGAUUCAAGUGGCUUCCACCUUACGCUAAUCUUCUUCCUUAUUGUUUUCUUUUGCUUCCAUACCCUUACCAACUCAUUUUUCCUAUAACUCUUCACUUGUUCAUAUCUAUAGAUAUUAUAAAUUUUAAGGAAGAAAGGCUAAGUUAUAAGUUUGAGCGAGCAAUAUGCAAAAUCUUACUUAUCUUCCAGCUGCUUCCCCG